CUUGGUUCUAUCUCAUCCAAGCAGAUGUGAUCUCCCCCAGUACUGAAUCUAAAUCUGCAGUUUAGCAGGGAAGUCAUAUGUGUAUGCUCGAAAGCAGAACACAGAUGUGAUGAUUUGAGGUGAACCUGGCCUCCAGGGGAAGCGGCAGCUAAACCUUCACAGGGGUUUCCAAGUAUAUCUGAGGUCCUAUGAAAGUUAAGCGAGAUCCCUGUGGAUAAAACGAUGCGGAUUUCACACGUGAUACAGUGGGCAUUUGUCUCCCUAGCACUGUGAACACCCUAAACUGACGUUCUACAUGGUUGAACUUGUCGUACAGUCUUACACAGCAGUCCUUGAAAAAAAAAAAAAAAGCCCACUCUUAGGGAAAAAAAUUAGAUGACAAUAACAACAAAAGGAGAAAGAAGAGAAAACCAAAUCCAUCACCAGCCUAGCCAGGACUGUCAGCAUGUGACCUGUUUAGGAAGCACCGCAUGCCUGUGCAUGUCUUCAAAGCCAGAAACAGCUUACUGUAGGAGAGCCAUGGGGCCAGGUAUGGGCCUCUGAUCCUUGAAACACUCUCUGAUGCUGAGAAGGACACAGGAAGUUCAACCACUGACUUCUCAGAGGAAGCCUCAGUGCCGCUGCACAGCGUUGAAAGACAGAAGGAAGAGAAAUAAGGUGAAGAACCUUAAACUCAUCAGGGUCAAAGACACUAGAAUCCAGAGCAAUGUGAACAGGCUCAAGAACUCCCUCCAGAUCAUGGUGCCAAACUCUCUGCUGACAGUAGUUUUUGAAGCCCCCUGACAAUUGCCCAGACAGAACUGACACUUGAUAGUAUAUAAUCUGCCUAAUAAAUUUGCUUGAAAUUG
Molecule: long non-coding RNA, 848 nt
Organism: Grammomys surdaster
Lineage: Eukaryota; Metazoa; Chordata; Mammalia; Rodentia; Muridae
Exons: 2
Source: RefSeq, a predicted model, not a curated record